RNAcentral lists this long non-coding RNA (1786 nucleotides) under Gopherus agassizii (Agassiz's desert tortoise). RNAcentral describes it as "lncRNA (ENSGAGG00000010267.1)". Lineage: Eukaryota; Metazoa; Chordata; Testudines; Testudinidae. The record is from RNAcentral.
CCUGGGCUUGCAGCCAUGUGCGGCCUGCCAGCAUUCCCCGCCCAGUCAGGCAGGUGUAAUGCUCUCUCCCCGGGCGCUACCAGCAAACGAUGCUCUCAGGGUGGGUGCAGGGCCUCAGCUGCAGGGGCCCCUCACUGCUCCAGUCCCCACCUCAUCUGCUCCCAGGGGUUGUGCGGCAGUGCAGUGCAGGCAGCAUGGUGCUGAAUGGGCCCAGUGCACGGCAGGCCAGGCCUUGUCUCACUACGCUGCCUGGCGUGGCCAUUGGAGCCGGAGGACAGAGGCGGGGCUGGUGCAAGUCACUUACCAGCAAUUGCUCGGCCACACGAGGGGUGAAAAGGUCAGCGGCAGCUCCCCUUCCCAGCAUGCUGCCUUCUGGCUGGAGUCACACAUGCCUGCAGGCUGCAGUGUCACAGGGCCAGAGAGGCCGGCUCACGUGGAGAAUAUGGCACGGCUCUGCCAGCAGCAUGGGAUCCCCCUCUGGGUGGCCCCGAUCCUGGAACAAGCAGCAACAAUGAAGUGCGAUAAGAGCAGGAGGCACAAGGCAUACAGACUCAUCCGUAGGCGGCUGUGGGAAGGAAGAAUAGGCCUGGAGAAAACAAAGUAUCCAACUUACAUUUACCCAAAGGAGCUGAAGAACUUAAUGAGAUCCGCCUUCCCAGCAGGGGUCUGCGACUACCCUGACCCAGACCACAGCAAGGUGGUACACGUGACGCUCGAAGACCUGCACCUGCUCAAUCACCCCGAGGCAUGGAGUGCACAGCCCUGUCUGCAAUAGAACUUCUUCAGGCAUCAGAGCAUUUACCGGAACAGGAUGGAAUGAGGCAGCAGCAAGAGAGUUAUUUUCACCCUGCCCAGGAAUGACGUACAUAGGGCUCCAGCUACGUCCCUCCCUCAAAACAGUCCUCCCAACUCACCCCAUUACAGCCAAGUCUCACUGGCAGGUCUCGAGCUCUCUCCCCAGGAGCCCACCCUAUGAGCAAAAACACCUUUGUACCCACUUGCAGCCACCCCCCCUUUCUCCAAAGGGCAAACUGCUGAGUGAGUUCCCAUUUCUCUUACCUGUCACUGUGGCCCUGGCUUGAUCUUCCACCCAGCUGCUAUUCCCCUAGCGAGAUCUGCUGCCAGAGGAAAGCAGCACAGCUUGCAUCCUUCACUCCACCGUGGAAAGAGAAGUUCUUGACUGGUCCCAAAAGUGACAACAGAAGAGCUGCAUGGAGGUGGGGGUGAAUGCUUUUCCAGCAGCCCAAACCCAGGGGGCAGAAUAGCCCCAGCAGAUGUACACUAUACCCUUUCCACUGAUACAGGAGGUGAGGUAGGUCUGAGGCAGAGCCUUAAGCUGUGAACGCUCAUUUCCACUGUCCUGGUCUAGGAAUUGGUACAGCUAUGCUCUCAGGGGUGUGAAAAGUCCGCUCCCCGGAAAGACAGCGUUAUACUGACCUAACCUCCGAUGUAGUCAGCACUAGGUCACGAGAAGAAGUCUUCUGUUGACCUAGCUACUGCCUCUCAGAGAUAGAUUACCGACGCUGAUGAGAGACACCCUUCCGGUAGCAUGGGUAGCACCCAGGGAGUGCAUCCAUUGCCAGCUGUUAGUCACAGAGCGACCAUGGGCAAGUCAUUUCACCUUCUGUGUUUGUUUCCACAACCACACUUAUCUGACAAAAGUAGUUCAUGCUUUGAGAGCCUUGUAUGAAAAAUGCUGGAGAAGUGCAGUGCUAAGUAUUCCCUACUCAUUACUGUUCUGACAAGAGGAUGUGUUGUGAAUUUCAUUUUUGUUAAUAAAGGCUUU